RNAcentral lists this ribosomal RNA (502 nucleotides) under [Candida] sp. 1A1. RNAcentral's name for it is "eukaryotic LSU rRNA". It matches the Rfam family "Eukaryotic large subunit ribosomal RNA", at positions 62 to 648 of the family's 3401-position model. The record is from RNAcentral. Lineage: Eukaryota; Fungi; Ascomycota; Saccharomycetes; Saccharomycetales.
AAACCAACAGGGAUUGCCUUAGUAACGGCGAGUGAAGCGGCAAGAGCUCAAAUUUGAAAGCGAUUUUUCGCAUUGUAAUUUGAAGGCCCGUGUCAACCUACAAUAUUCAAGUCCUUUGGAACAAGGCGCCAUUGAGGGUGAUAGCCCCGUGGAAUAUUAAAGGUGACUACGGCACGGAGCCAACGAGUCGAGUUGUUUGGGAAUGCAGCUCAAAGUGGGUGGUAAACUCCAUCUAAAGCUAAAUACCGGCGAGAGACCGAUAGCGAACAAGUACAGUAAUGGAAAGAUGAAAAGCACUUUGAAAAGAGAGUGAAACAGUACGUGAAAUUGUUGAAAGGGAAGGGCUUGCAAGCAGACACGGUUUACCGGGCCAGCAUCGGUAGGUAUAGAAUUAAAAGGGCUAAAACAUGUGGCGCAUUUUGCGUGUUAUAGUUUUGGUUGAUGAUUCUAUAUCUUCCGAGGCCAGCGAUUCAUGGAUGUUGGCGUAAUGGUUGCAAGCCGC